UACUAGUUCUGCAACUAGUUACGCGGGAAGCGAACGCGGACCAGUCGAAAAAGAACCGAAAAACGAAGCCGCCUUCGGUUUGUUUUUGAAGGCGGCAAAUAACCGCAAUUCCGUGGAGUUACAGUGCCCACUCAGCUAGUUUUUACAGAGCCACGACAUGCAAUAAGCACCGAAAUGGUACGUGCAAAUAUAUAUUAUAUAUUUCAAAUAAAAUGAUGAGCAAAAGGCAUUUGCGUAGACUCCGUAAGAGUGAAAGGGAAGCUAACAUUGCAAAGUUAGCGUUGUGCAGGAAAGAUAACAGAUAACAGCAAUGAAAUCGAUUCUCCAGCCAGCUGGCGUUUUGAGCGGCUUAAACUUUAUUUUGAGUGAGGAAAUUGUUCUAGCCUAUAACGUCGAUGGGGUCCAAGGGAAGAAGGCCCUUAGGACCCACAAAGAAUUUUUUGCAGCUUUGCUAGAAUGUAUUCCGCCUGGCGAUGAGCCCCCCGAAAACACUGUGCGGAAGGCAAUGCAAAGGAUGAAGAAAAGGGUGUUUAAGAAGAAGUGUCUUGCCAAAAACCAGGAGUAGGCUAAACAUCAUAUAAUUAAAAAUUAUUCGUUAUAAUGAAAGACAUUGUGUUUUUAUUUUUGUAUUAUUCCAGACUGCCAGAUUGACUACUACCAAUAGUCAGUUCGGAACUAGUUACUGGUAACUAGGUCAGAGCUAGCUACAAGUAAUCGAAGGGUAGUCGAGUGGGGAACUAGUUGCUGGCUUUCUACUGGUAACUAGUUCGGUAACUCCUGAGCAACUAGCUACGGGUAAUCGAAGGGUAAUCGAGCGGGAGUGGUUCCGCCCUAGGACAUGCAUGUGUUAAAUUCUCCGCUGAAAUACAUUGCGGGUAAUCGAUCUGGAACCAGGGAGGUGAGAAUGGUAGCUAGUGCGGCACCAGUGCGGAACUAGUGGCCUGGUACUAGAGGGUAGUUAUUGGUGCUGCCGCUGCCACCGCUAUAGGCGGUGGUGGAAGUGGAAGAUUUGGUGUUACGAUGCAAUUCUCGGACCAAGCUUUGCGGGGUGGCAACCAGAACGUAGAGAAGAGCAAUACAAGGCACGGCACG
Drosophila miranda is the source of this 1092-nucleotide long non-coding RNA. RefSeq lists it as uncharacterized. NCBI's taxonomy places the organism in Eukaryota, Metazoa, Arthropoda, Insecta, Diptera, Drosophilidae. The transcript is spliced from 3 exons. The record is from RefSeq and is a predicted model, not a curated record.